CUCACGUUCCCGUCUCCUCCCUCAACGCUGCCAUCGGCUGUCUCCUCCCCUUCCCGUCUCCUCCCUCAAGCAAAACCCUUACGCACAUUCUCCUUCCCGUCUGUGGUGACCGGCUUUUUUCUCGGACGAUGGUUUAUUGCAAGAAAAUCAAGGUCAAGGGAGAUUUCAUGCCUAUGGGAGGAUAGUAACCUUGGUAGGGGAGCUGCAUCGAAAGGAUCAAAGCUUGGCGGUGGCGGUGGCAAACGUUGAUCUCUCUAUGCUGUAAGCUAAGAAGAGUAGUAAGCUUUUGAUUGUCUUUCGAAUAGCAAGCCUGAGUAAAAGAUAAUGUUUGUUUAUUUCCAAAAUUUUGAAUGGAUAAAUUAUUGCACUUAUGUUAUAAAUAUCAGAGUUCUGCA
This is a long non-coding RNA of Cucumis melo (muskmelon), 395 nucleotides long. RefSeq lists it as uncharacterized. The transcript has 3 exons. Lineage: Eukaryota; Viridiplantae; Streptophyta; Magnoliopsida; Cucurbitales; Cucurbitaceae. The record is from RefSeq and is a predicted model, not a curated record.